ACCACGGUGGUCUAGCGGUUAGAACGCUGGCCUUGUAAUCCUGGGGUCUCGGGUUCGAUUCCCGGCGGUGCUC
This 73-nucleotide transfer RNA is filed under the name Zootermopsis nevadensis. It matches the Rfam family "tRNA". Rfam says of the family: Transfer RNA (tRNA) molecules are approximately 80 nucleotides in length. The record is from Rfam by way of RNAcentral. Lineage: Eukaryota; Metazoa; Arthropoda; Insecta; Blattodea; Termopsidae.